Molecule: long non-coding RNA, 515 nt
Filed under: Olea europaea subsp. europaea
Lineage: Eukaryota; Viridiplantae; Streptophyta; Magnoliopsida; Lamiales; Oleaceae
Source: RNAcentral
GGCAACCAAAGAAAUUGGAGAGUUCUUGGGAAAUAAAUUGCGACUGGCUUGGGGAAUAAAAAAUGGCUAUUGGCUGCUACCAUAAGAGAUACAUACACACAGAGGGUAGCCAAGAGUAUUAUUAAAUUCAAGCACGGAAAGUGAGGCGAGUUUGGAGUGAAUUAGCGGCUAUAGGCACGAAAAUCGAAGCAAAGAAAACUGUUGAAUUAAUAAGGCUGCCGACUGCUAAAAUUUAUCUACAUACACAUGGAAAUUUCGACUGCUGGGUGAAGGAAUUAGGUUGCUUACUGCUGAAAUCAAUACACAUGCAAACAGAGACGAGAAAGAGAGAAUUACACAAACAGAGUUGUACGGUUGGAGCAUAAUUGAAAAUUUAUUCAAGUUCCAUCAAUUCCCUAUGAUGAAUUUCCUAUUAAACUUGUGUUUUCCUCCAUUAUUAUGCGUAGCUAAAUUUGAUUUAGGGCGAACAACGUAACUUGUUUGGAAUCCUUUAUUUCGUUGAAUUAAAAUUCUAG